RNAcentral lists this transfer RNA (70 nucleotides) under Epinephelus coioides (orange-spotted grouper). Its description in RNAcentral is "tRNA-Ile". It matches the Rfam family "tRNA". From Rfam's summary of the family: Transfer RNA (tRNA) molecules are approximately 80 nucleotides in length. Their secondary structure includes four short double-helical elements and three loops (D, anti-codon, and T loops). Further hydrogen bonds mediate the characteristic L-shaped molecular structure. tRNAs have two regions of fundamental functional importance: the anti-codon, which is responsible for specific mRNA codon recognition, and the 3' end, to which the tRNAs corresponding amino acid is attached (by aminoacyl-tRNA synthetases). tRNAs cope with the degeneracy of the genetic code in two manners: having more than one tRNA (with a specific anti-codon) for a particular amino acid; and 'wobble' base-pairing, i.e. permitting non-standard base-pairing at the 3rd anti-codon position. RNAcentral also lists the same sequence under 3 other names. The record is from RNAcentral. Lineage: Eukaryota; Metazoa; Chordata; Actinopteri; Perciformes; Serranidae.
GGAACUGUGCCUGAAAUAAAGGACCACUUUGAUAGAGUGAAUCAUGAGGGUUAGAACCCCUCCAGCUCCU